GCGUCUGUAGCUCAGUUGGUUAGAGCACCACCCUGACAUGGUGGGGGGCCGAUGGUUCGAGUCCAUUCAGACGCA
This 75-nucleotide transfer RNA is filed under the name Salmonella enterica subsp. enterica. RNAcentral's name for it is "tRNA-Val". It matches the Rfam family "tRNA". Rfam says of the family: Transfer RNA (tRNA) molecules are approximately 80 nucleotides in length. Their secondary structure includes four short double-helical elements and three loops (D, anti-codon, and T loops). Further hydrogen bonds mediate the characteristic L-shaped molecular structure. tRNAs have two regions of fundamental functional importance: the anti-codon, which is responsible for specific mRNA codon recognition, and the 3' end, to which the tRNAs corresponding amino acid is attached (by aminoacyl-tRNA synthetases). tRNAs cope with the degeneracy of the genetic code in two manners: having more than one tRNA (with a specific anti-codon) for a particular amino acid; and 'wobble' base-pairing, i.e. permitting non-standard base-pairing at the 3rd anti-codon position. Lineage: Bacteria; Pseudomonadati; Pseudomonadota; Gammaproteobacteria; Enterobacterales; Enterobacteriaceae. The record is from RNAcentral.